RNAcentral lists this ribosomal RNA (747 nucleotides) under Salmonella enterica subsp. enterica serovar Braenderup. Its description in RNAcentral is "bacterial LSU rRNA". It matches the Rfam family "Bacterial large subunit ribosomal RNA", at positions 1 to 783 of the family's 2925-position model. Lineage: Bacteria; Pseudomonadati; Pseudomonadota; Gammaproteobacteria; Enterobacterales; Enterobacteriaceae. The record is from RNAcentral.
GGGUUGUGAGGUUAAGCGACUAAGCGUACACGGUGGAUGCCCUGGCAGUCAGAGGCGAUGAAGGACGUGCUAAUCUGCGAUAAGCGCCGGUAAGGUGAUAUGAACCGUUAUAACCGGCGAUUUCCGAAUGGGGAAACCCAGUGUGAUUCGUCACACUAUCAUUAACUGAAUCCAUAGGUUAAUGAGGCGAACCGGGGGAACUGAAACAUCUAAGUACCCCGAGGAAAAGAAAUCAACCGAGAUUCCCCCAGUAGCGGCGAGCGAACGGGGAGGAGCCCAGAGCCUGAAUCAGCAUGUGUGUUAGUGGAAGCGUCUGGAAAGGCGCGCGAUACAGGGUGACAGCCCCGUACACAAAAGCGCAUGUGCUGUGAGCUCGAUGAGUAGGGCGGGACACGUGGUAUCCUGUCUGAAUAUGGGGGGACCAUCCUCCAAGGCUAAAUACUCCUGACUGACCGAUAGUGAACCAGUACCGUGAGGGAAAGGCGAAAAGAACCCCGGCGAGGGGAGUGAAAAAGAACCUGAAACCGUGUACGUACAAGCAGUGGGAGCACCUUUGGGUGUGACUGCGUACCUUUUGUAUAAUGGGUCAGCGACUUAUAUUCUGUAGCAAGGUUAACCGCAUAGGGGAGCCGGAGGGAAACCGAGUCUUAAUUGGGCGUUAAGUUGCAGGGUAUAGACCCGAAACCCGGUGAUCUAGCCAUGGGCAGGUUGAAGGUUGGGUAACACUAACUGGAGGACCGAACCGAC